AGUCACAGGAAUCUUCUCAACUAACAGUGUGUCAAACUCACGUUGUCAUGGCGGCAUCAUGUGACAUAUUGGGACUUUUCCCCCCUUUGCUAAACCGGGUGUGGGCGUCGCCAGCUCGUGAUGCAUUCAACCCGCGAGCCAUGAGUUUGACAGCCCUGCUCUAUGACAAUGUCCUUAACCUAGUCCUUCAGGUCUUCCAAGAUAGGAUCUUCAGCAGAAUACCUGAACUGUCAGCAACUUCAUAGUUAGUAAGGCAAGUCUUGAUGUAUUCCAGUGCCACACCAUAUAGGACUCAAUAGAUGUUUCUGCCCCCCCACGCAAUAAACUUCAGAUAUUUGAAGAGUAAAGCCUGAAUCACCCAGAUAUGAAAUAACUGUAUCUCCCCAAUAAUCAAGUCAAACAAGAUUUGCAAACAGAUACCUUGAUAAGUAAGUAAAAAUCUUCAUCUCCAAAGAGGGUUUGGGAAGAGAACUGGUCUCCAAAUGUGAUGAAAAUCUUUGUCUGAAAGGACACUGAUCCAAGAACCUCUCUCCUUUAAUUAUUUCAUCAAACUAUUGAUCCAAUGGUUCUACUAUAUAGAUAUAUUACUCUCAGCUUCAAGAGAUGGCUCAAAGUUUGUUGCCCUCCAACUAUCCUCUUCUGGGUUAAGUAUCUUUAUUAAAGAUGAUGGGACUCAA
Non-coding RNA from Pantherophis guttatus, 677 nucleotides. The record is from RefSeq and is a predicted model, not a curated record. Lineage: Eukaryota; Metazoa; Chordata; Lepidosauria; Squamata; Colubridae.